This 82-nucleotide transfer RNA is filed under the name Natronosalvus halobius. RNAcentral's name for it is "tRNA-Ser". It matches the Rfam family "tRNA". From Rfam's summary of the family: Transfer RNA (tRNA) molecules are approximately 80 nucleotides in length. Lineage: Archaea; Methanobacteriati; Methanobacteriota; Halobacteria; Halobacteriales; Natrialbaceae. RNAcentral also lists the same sequence under 5 other names. The record is from RNAcentral.
GGUGAGGUGGCAGAGCGGCCCAACGCGCCUGCCUUGAAAGCAGGUGGCGCAAGCCUCAUGGGUUCAAAUCCCAUCCUCACCG